Molecule: ribosomal RNA, 497 nt
Filed under: uncultured bacterium
Lineage: Bacteria
Description: partial 16S ribosomal RNA
Rfam family: Bacterial small subunit ribosomal RNA
Source: RNAcentral
GAUGAACGCUGGCGGCGUGCCUAAUACAUGCAAGUCGAGCGAACGGACGAGAAGCUUGCUUUUCUGAUGUUAGCGGCGGACGGGUGAGUAACACGUGGAUAACCUACCUAUAAGACUGGGAUAACUUCGGGAAACCGGAGCUAAUACCGGAUAAUAUUUUGAACCUCAUGGUUCAAAAGUGAAAGACGGUCUUGCUGUCACUUAUAGAUGGACCCGCGCUGCAUUAGCUAGUUGGUAAGGUAACGGCUUACCAAGGCAACGAUGCAUAGCCGACCUGAGAGGGAGAUUGGCCACACUGGAACUGAGACACGGUCCAGACUCCUACGGGAGGAAGCAGUAGGGAAUCUUACGCAAUGGGCGAAAGCCUGACGGAGCAACGCCGCGUGAGUGAUGAAGGUCUUCGGAUCGUAAAACUCUGUUAUUAGGGAAGAACAUAUGUGUAAGUAACUGUGCACAUCUUGACGGUACCUAAUCAGAAAGCCACGGCUAACUACGUG